CCACACACACACACACACACACACACACACACACACACACACACACACACACACACACACACACUAUCACUGACGCUGGUUGAACCACUACGAGGAUUGUAAAACACAGGAAUACCAUAUUUGUUUGUUUUUCUCUUUCUUUCAUCGAAGCAGAAAACUACCCCUACAUCAAAGAACUACUUUCACACCAGGAGAGCCAGGUUCCUGCAAGUAUACUACCUGCACCAAAUGAGAAAGACACGGAACUGGAUGCAGACAACGAUGUAUUGGAAUUUGAUUAACAAGAAAGCUGCUGAUGAGCUAUGGCCCUGCCACAGCAGUACACACACAAUAUCACUGACGCUAUAGUCCGACUCAAAUAUGAAGGCCGCUGAGAGGGGAGACCUGACGGGGAUUCCCCGGCUGCGGCAUCGCCAAGCAUCGUAGCACGUUUCGAUCUCAUUAUUAACUUACAUCUUAAUGAACAGUCAUAAAAGUGUAUUUCUCUAAAUUUCUACUAAGGAUGUAUAAAGAGCUUUGAAUAUUGUUUUAGUGUAAUGAAGACAAUGAUUUUGUAUAGAUACCACAAAAUAUAACACCACUGCUCUCCAGCGUUGCUACUUUUCAAGGUUGGACAUGGGUGAGGUCAACCUC
RNAcentral lists this unclassified non-coding RNA (633 nucleotides) under Portunus trituberculatus (swimming crab). Its description in RNAcentral is "uncharacterized LOC123516499, transcript variant X1". Lineage: Eukaryota; Metazoa; Arthropoda; Malacostraca; Decapoda; Portunidae. The record is from RNAcentral.